RNAcentral lists this ribosomal RNA (253 nucleotides) under uncultured bacterium. RNAcentral describes it as "partial 16S ribosomal RNA". It matches the Rfam family "Bacterial small subunit ribosomal RNA", at positions 524 to 776 of the family's 1533-position model. The record is from RNAcentral.
UACGGGGGGGGCAAGCGUUGUUCGGAGUUACUGGGCGUAAAGGGCUCGUAGGCGGCCAACUAAGUCAGACGUGAAAUCCCUCGGCUUAACCGGGGAACUGCGUCUGAUACUGGAUGGCUUGAGUUUGGGAGAGGGAUGCGGAAUUCCAGGUGUAGCGGUGAAAUGCGUAGAUAUCUGGAGGAACACCGGUGGCGAAGGCGGCAUCCUGGACCAACACUGACGCUGAGGAGCGAAAGCCAGGGGAGCAAACGGG